RNAcentral lists this transfer RNA (75 nucleotides) under Methylobacterium sp. WL116. RNAcentral's name for it is "tRNA-His". It matches the Rfam family "tRNA". Rfam says of the family: Transfer RNA (tRNA) molecules are approximately 80 nucleotides in length. Their secondary structure includes four short double-helical elements and three loops (D, anti-codon, and T loops). The record is from RNAcentral. Lineage: Bacteria; Pseudomonadati; Pseudomonadota; Alphaproteobacteria; Hyphomicrobiales; Methylobacteriaceae.
GCCGGCGUAGCUCAGUGGUAGAGCGCGGGUUUGUGGAACCCGAUGCCCGUGGUUCGAUCCCACGCGCCGGUACCA